ACUGACAGCCAUGGUUACCGCGGCUGCUGGCACGGAGUUAGCCGGUGCUUCUUCUGUGAGUGAUGUCCUUCCUGCCGGCUAUUAACCCGCAGGCCUUCUUCCUCACUGAAAGUGCUUUACAACCCGAAGGCCUUCUUCACACACGCGGCAUGGCUGGAUCAGGGUUGCCCCCAUUGUCCAAUAUUCCCCACUGCUGCCUCCCGUAGGAGUCUGGGCCGUGUCUCAGUCCCAGUGUGGCUGAUCAUCCUCUCAGACCAGCUACGGAUCGUCGCCUUGGUGAGCCGUUACCUCACCAACCAGCUAAUCCGACAUAGGCUCAUCCGAUAGCGCGAGGCCCGAAGGUCCCCCGCUUUCCCCCGUAGGGCGUAUGCGGUAUUAGCCUGGGUUUCCCCAGGUUAUCCCCCACUACCGGGCAGAUUCCUAUGCAUUACUCACCCGUCCGCCGCUCGCCACCAGGGAGCAAGCUCCCCGUGCUGCCGCUCGACUUGCAUGUGUUAGGCCUGCCGCCAGCGUUCAAUC
RNAcentral lists this ribosomal RNA (519 nucleotides) under uncultured bacterium. RNAcentral describes it as "partial 16S ribosomal RNA". The record is from RNAcentral.